UGGGGAAUAUUGCACAAUGGAGGGAACUCUGAUGCAGCGACGCCGCGUGAGUGAUGAAGGAAUUCGUUUCGUAAAACUCUGUUCUAUGGGAAGAAAAGGACUGUACCAUAGGAGAAAGCUCCGGCUAAAUACGUGCCAGCAGCCGCGGUAAUACGUAUGGAGCGAGCGUUGUCCGGAAUUAUUGGGCGUAACGGGUGCGCAGGCGGCUUUACAAGUUGGAUGUGAAAUAUUGUGGCUCAACCACAAACGUGCAUCCAAAACUGCAAAGCUUGAGUUAAGGAGAGGUAAGUGGAAUUCCUGGUGUAGCGGUGGAAUGCGUAGAUAUCAGGAGGAAUACCGGUGGCGAAGGCGACUUACUGGACUUAAACUGACGCUCAGGCACGAAAGCGUGGGGAGCAAACAGG
Molecule: ribosomal RNA, 404 nt
Filed under: Fusobacteriota bacterium
Lineage: Bacteria; Fusobacteriati; Fusobacteriota
Description: Fusobacteria bacterium partial 16S ribosomal RNA
Rfam family: Bacterial small subunit ribosomal RNA
Source: RNAcentral